UGGGGAAUAUUGCACAAUGGAGGGAACUCUGAUGCAGCGACGCCGCGUGAACGAAGAAGGCUUUCGAGUCGUAAAGUUUUUUUAUAUGGGAAGAUAAUGACGGUACCAUAAGAAAAAGCCCCGGCUAACUACGUGCCAGCAGCCGCGGUAAUACGUAGGGGGCUAGCGUUGUCCGGAAUCACUGGGCGUAAAGGGUUCGCAGGCGGAAAUGCAAGUCAGGUGUAAAAGGCAGUAGCUUAACUACUGUAAGCAUUUGAAACUGCAUAUCUUGAGAAGGGUAGAGGUAAGUGGAAUUUUUAGUGUAGCGGUGAAAUGCGUAGGUAUUAAAAAGAAUACCGGUGGCGAGGGCGACUUACUGGGCUCAUUCUGACGCUGAGGAACGAAAGCGUGGGUAGCAAACAGG
RNAcentral lists this ribosomal RNA (403 nucleotides) under bacterium. RNAcentral's name for it is "partial 16S ribosomal RNA". It matches the Rfam family "Bacterial small subunit ribosomal RNA", at positions 355 to 776 of the family's 1533-position model. The record is from RNAcentral.